CAAUAGCGUAUAUUAAAGUUGUUGCAGUUAAAAAGCUCGUAGUUGGAUUUCUGGUUGAAGCGACCGGUCGGGCGUUGAUUCGUCUGCACUGGAGUCGGUUUUGGCCAUCCUCUAGGAAAGUGCGUCUGGUAUUAAGUUAUCGGGCGUAUGAUCCUGAUCUUUUACUGUGAAAAAAUUAGAGUGUUUAAAGCAGGCCUUCGCCUUGAAUACAUUAGCAUGGAAUAAUAAGAUAGGACUUUGGUCUAUUUUGUUGGUUUGCAGACCGAAGUAAUGAUUAAUAGGGAUAGUUGGGGGUAUUUAUAUUCCGAUGUCAGAGGUGAAAUUCUUAGAUUUUCGGAAGAUAAACUUAUGCGAAAGCAUUUACCAAGGAUGUUUUCAUUAA
RNAcentral lists this ribosomal RNA (382 nucleotides) under uncultured eukaryote. RNAcentral describes it as "partial 18S ribosomal RNA". It matches the Rfam family "Eukaryotic small subunit ribosomal RNA", at positions 592 to 976 of the family's 1831-position model. The record is from RNAcentral.